Molecule: ribosomal RNA, 436 nt
Filed under: uncultured Oscillospiraceae bacterium
Lineage: Bacteria; Bacillati; Bacillota; Clostridia; Eubacteriales; Oscillospiraceae
Description: partial 16S ribosomal RNA
Rfam family: Bacterial small subunit ribosomal RNA
Source: RNAcentral
ACGGAAGGCAGCAGUGGGGGAUAUUGCACAAUGGGGGAAACCCUGAUGCAGCAAUGCCGCGUGAGGGAAGACGGUCUUCGGAUUGUAAACCUAAGUUGUCAGGGACGAACACAUGACGGUACCUGAAGAGAAAGCUCCGGCUAACUACGUGCCAGCAGCCGCGGUAAUACGUAGGGAGCGAGCGUUGUCCGGAUUUACUGGGUGUAAAGGGUGCGUAGGCGGGUCUGCAAGUCAGACGUGAAAUACCGAGGCUUAACCUCGGAGCUGCGUUUGAAACUGUAGAUCUUGAGUGAAGUAGAGGUAAGCGGAAUUCCUAGUGUAGCGGUGAAAUGCGUAGAUAUUAGGAGGAACACCAGUGGCGAAGGCGGCUUACUGGACGAUAACUGACGUUGAGGCUCGAAAGCGUGGGGAGCAAACAGGAUUAGAUACCCUGGUA